This 492-nucleotide ribosomal RNA is filed under the name uncultured bacterium. RNAcentral's name for it is "partial 16S ribosomal RNA". It matches the Rfam family "Bacterial small subunit ribosomal RNA", at positions 29 to 507 of the family's 1533-position model. The record is from RNAcentral.
AGUGAACGCUGGCGGUAGGCCUAACACAUGCAAGUCGAACGGCAGCACAGUAAGAGCUUGCUCUUACGGGUGGCGAGUGGCGGACGGGUGAGGAAUACAUCGGAAUCUACUUUUUCGAGGGGGAUAACGUAGGGAAACUUACGCUAAUACCGCAUACGACCUACGGGUGAAAGCAGGGGAUCUUCGGACCUUGCGCGAUUGAAUGAGCCGAUGUCGGAUUAGCUAGUUGGCGGGGUAAAGGCCCACCAAGGCGACGAUCCGUAGCUGGUCUGAGAGGAUGAUCAGCCACACUGGAACUGAGACACGGUCCAGACUCCUACGGGAGGCAGCAGUGGGAAAUAUUGGACAAUGGGCGCAAGCCUGAUCCAGCCAUACCGCGUGGGUGAAGAAGGCCUUCGGGUUGUAAAGCCCUUUUGUUGGGAAAGAAAAGCAGCAGGUUAAUACCCCGCUGUUCUGACGGUACCCAAAGAAUAAGCACCGGCUAACUUCGUG